RNAcentral lists this ribosomal RNA (253 nucleotides) under uncultured bacterium. RNAcentral describes it as "partial 16S ribosomal RNA". It matches the Rfam family "Bacterial small subunit ribosomal RNA", at positions 524 to 776 of the family's 1533-position model. The record is from RNAcentral.
UACGUAGGGUGCAAGCGUUGUCCGGAAUUAUUGGGCGUAAAGAGCUCGUAGGCGGCUUGUCGCGUCGGCUGUGAAAACCCGCGGCUCAACUGUGGGCGGGCAGCUGAUACGGGCAGGCUGGAGUUCGGUAGGGGAGACUGGAAUUCCUGGUGUAGCGGUGAAAUGCGCAGAUAUCAGGAGGAACACCGGUGGCGAAGGCGGAUCUCUGGGCCAUUACUGACGCUGAGGAGCGAAAGCGUGGGGAGCGAACAGG